RNAcentral lists this ribosomal RNA (692 nucleotides) under Monoblepharis hypogyna. RNAcentral's name for it is "eukaryotic LSU rRNA". It matches the Rfam family "Eukaryotic large subunit ribosomal RNA", at positions 38 to 655 of the family's 3401-position model. The record is from RNAcentral. Lineage: Eukaryota; Fungi; Monoblepharomycota; Monoblepharidomycetes; Monoblepharidales; Monoblepharidaceae.
GCAUAUCAAUAAGCGGAGGAAAAGAAACUAACAAGGAUUCCCCUAGUAACUGCGAGUGAAGCGGGAACAGCUCAAAUUUGAAAUCUCCGCGGUCCCCGCGGCGAAUUGUAGUUUCAAGAGGCGUUUUCGGUGGCGGCCUUGGCUCAAGUCCCUUGGAACAGGGUGUCAUAGAGGGUGAGAACCCCGUGAAGCCUUGGCUUGCCGCUAUGUGAUACGCUUUCAAAGAGUCGGGUUGUUUGGGAUUGCAGCCCUAAUCGGGAGGUAAAUUUCUUCUAAAGCUAAAUACUGGCGAGAGACCGAUAGCGAACAAGUACCGUGAGGGAAAGAUGAAAAGAACUUUGAAAAGAGAGUUAAACAGUACGUGAAAUUGUCAAAAGGGAAAGGCUUGAAACCAGUCAUGCUGUCUGGAAUUCAGCAGGCCACACCGGCCUGUCCACUUUCCAGAUGGCAGGUCAACGUCAGUUUUCUUCGUGUCGAAAGGCCUUGGGAAGGUAGCGAGCCUUCGGGCGCGUGUUAUAGCCCCUGGCUCUGGCAUGUGGGGAGACUGAGGACCGCAGGGCGCACUGGGUUAACCGGUCAGGCGAAUACCUUUUGGCGGACUGCACGCAGGCCGUCAGAAGGCAUAAACCUUUGCUGGCUACACCUCUCCGUCCCUUAGGACGUUGACGAAAUGGUUUUAAACCACCCGUCUU